RNAcentral lists this transfer RNA (53 nucleotides) under Strobilanthes auriculata. RNAcentral describes it as "partial tRNA-His". Lineage: Eukaryota; Viridiplantae; Streptophyta; Magnoliopsida; Lamiales; Acanthaceae. The record is from RNAcentral.
UCGCGCAUGGGUGAUUCACAAUCCACUGCCUUGAUCCACUUGGCUACAUCCGC